This 72-nucleotide transfer RNA is filed under the name Heterocephalus glaber (naked mole-rat). It matches the Rfam family "tRNA". Rfam says of the family: Transfer RNA (tRNA) molecules are approximately 80 nucleotides in length. Their secondary structure includes four short double-helical elements and three loops (D, anti-codon, and T loops). Lineage: Eukaryota; Metazoa; Chordata; Mammalia; Rodentia; Bathyergidae. The record is from Rfam by way of RNAcentral.
UGGGAUGUAGCUCAGUGAUUCAGCACUUGUCUAGCAUGCAUGAUGCCAUGGGUUCAAUCCCCAACACCACAA